ACUUUUAAUAAUAGAUCUCUUAGUUUUAGUAUUAAUAAAGAACGUAGCAAAAUGUAAUAAGUAAUAUAAAUUACAGAAUUUAGUAAAUUAUUAAAUCUUUAAAUACAUAUUACGCCUACUAGCAUUCUAGCAGGCAUGCUUGUUUAAGCGUUAUUUUAACCCUUAAGCUCUGCUUAGUGUUAGGGCCCUAUGGUUAACGUAGGCCCUUAAAGGUAGUAGCAGACUUUCUUAAAGCCUCCUUUACGUAGUAACUAACGUCUUACAUUAGGAUUUAAAGGGACUCUUACUAUAAAACCCCUUAAUUUUCUAAUAGUUAACCUUAGAUUAGGUAGGAAUACUUACUAAACUUAAGUAUAUUAAUAAGUAGAAGAAAAGAAACUAAUAGGGAUUACCUUAGUAAUAGUAAGUAAAGCAGUAAUAGCUUAAAUUUAAAAUCUAGCCUUAGGCCUAAGUUAUAAUUUACAAAGGAUGCUUUUAGCGUAGUACCUUCUAAGUUCUCUAGAAUAAGACGCUAUAAAGGGUAAAAGCCUUAUAUAGUUAGAUACUAAGCCUUUUAAAGCUUUUUUAAUAAGUUAAGUAGUUUAAGAAUACUACUUAAAAUAAGAGGUAUAUUUCUUCUAAAGCUAAAUAUUAGCUAGAGACUAAUAGUGCAUAAGUAAAGUAAUUAAAAGAUAAAAGUACUUUAAAAAAAGAUUAAAUAGUAUGUAAAUUAUUAAAAGGGAAGUACUUAUAACUAGACUUACGCCUAGUAAAUUACCUAGCUUUUAUAGCUAAAGCACUUUACUAGCAUAGGCUAGCAUUAGCUUACUAUUAAGGAUAAAAGCUUUAGGAAUAUAGCUUUCUUUAGGAAGUGUUAUAGCCUGUUAUAUAAUACCCUUUGUAGGCUAAGGUAUAUACUUUAUAAGAAUGCUAGCAUAAUAGUUAUUAGCAACCUAUCUUAAAACAUAGACUAAGGAGUUAACCUUAUGUAUAAGUGUUUAGGUAUUAAACCUUUAUGCAUAAUAAAAGUAAACGUAGGUAAAAGCUUUAGUAUAUUAUUAACUAAUCUUAAUGUUCUUAGAUAGAUUUAAGUAAGAGUAUAUAGAGUUAGACCUAAAGAAGGUAAACUAUGUAUAUAUAAGGUAAAGCUAGAGAAAACUUUAGUAAAAGCUUAUAGCGGUUUUAACGUAUAAAUUAAUUAUUAAAUAUAUACAUAAAGGUAAAAGACUAAUUAAACCUUUAGUAGCUAGUUUCUGCUAAAGUUUUCUUUAGGAUAGUAGUAUUAAACUUAGUUUUAUAAGGUAAAGUAAAUAAUUAGAGACUUAGGGGCGCUAUAUUACCUUUAUUUAUUUUUAAACUUUAAAUAUAUAAGAAGCCCUUAUUACUUAAUUAAACAUAGGUAUUUAAAUAUAUUAACACUAGUAGGCCAUUUUUAGUAAGCAGAACUAGUGAAUACAGGAUAAACUAAACGUAAGGUUAAAGUACUAAAGUAGUUACUUAUUAGAUACUACAAAAGGUGUUAGUAUAUCUUAAUAGCAGGAUGGUAGCUAUAGAAGUUAGAAUCUACUAAGGACUAUAUAAUAACUUACUUACUAAAUAUACUAGCCUUAAAAAUAGAUAGCGCUUAAGUAACUUACCUAUACCUUACCUUUAGUGUAAAACAAUAUGCUAAGAAGUAGGUAGACGUAGAAGUUAGUAAUAAAGCCUAAGGCGUAAGCCUAGGUAGAACAGCCUUUAGUAUAAUCUUAGUAGUAGUAGUAAAUACUUUAAUAAGAACUUAAAAGACUAAAGUAAGAAAAGGUUUUAUAUAAACAGUAGUUAGAUAUAGGUUAGUUAAUCUUAAGCUAUAGGGAAGUUCUGUUUUAAAGAGGUACUUAUGCUCUAUAUAGUAAAAGGGAAGCUAGUUAAUAUUCUAGACCUAGAUAUAGGUUUUACAUAGUAACGUAACUAAAUAUAGAGAUAAUAGCAGGGGCCUUAGGUAGAGUUCUCUUUUCUUUUAACAGUCUAUUACCUUAAAAUUAGUUUAUCUAAAGCUAGGGUUUAAUAGCUAGAAGAGCCUAGUACUUCUGUUAAGUCUAGUAUACUUUUAAUAUCUCUUAAAAAUCUAUAAGAAGGAAUAAUUCUUACGCUAGGUUAUACUUAUAACUAUAGUAGGUCUCUAAGGUAAACAGCCUCUAGUUAAUAGAAUAAUAUAGAUAAGAGAAGUUAGUAAAAUAGAUCUAUAACUUUAGGAUAAAGAUUAGCUUUAAGGGUUAGGUACGUUAGGCUUUAGGUAGAUAGCUUAAGAGUAAGUUACUACUAGCUAGGUAACUAGCUAAAGGCUUCUAGUAUCUAGGUUCUAACGUCUUUAGUAGGCUUUAGCUAUCUAGCGUAUAGUUAAUAACUAACUUAGAACUAGUAUAGAUAAGGGAAAUCUAACUAUCUAAUUAAAACAUAGUAUUAUAAUAGCUAGAAAGUAGUGUUAACAUAAUAUAAUUUCUGCCUAGUGCUUUAAAUAUUAAAGUAAAGUAAUUUAACUAAGCGUAGGUAAACAGCAGGAGUAACUAUACUUUCUUAAGGUAGCUAAAUGCCUUGUUAUCUAAUUAGUAGACCGUAUAAAUAAAUUAAUAAGAUUCCUACUGUCUCUAUCUACUAUCUAGUAAAACUAUAGCUAAGGGAACAGGCUUAGUAGAAUUAGUAAGGAAAGAAGACCUUGUUAAGCUUAACUUUAGUUUAACAUUAUAAAAGAUAUAGAAGGUGUAAAUAGGUAGAAGCUUUAGCGCUAGUAAAAUACUACUACUCUUAUUGUUUUUUUACUUAUUUAAUAAAGUAGGGCUAGAUUUAUCUAACUUCUGGUUUUAAGGUCUUUACAGGCUAACCUAGGUUAAAGAUAUUGUUAGGUAGAGAGUUUAGCUAGGGUAGUAUAUCUGUUAAACUAUAAUGUAGGUGUCCUAAGGGGGGCUUAUAGAGAACAGAAAUCUUUAGUAGAAUAAAAGGGUAAAAGUCCUCUUAAUUUUAAUUUUUAGUGUAAUACAAACUAUAAAGUGUAGCUUAUUAAUUCUUUAGUCCUUAAAAUUUAAGGCUAGAGGUACUAGAAAAGUUACUAUAGAGAUAACUAGCUUGUGGUAGCUAAGCGUUUAUAGUAACGUUACUUUUUAAUUCUUUAAUGUUAGCUCUUCUUAUUAUACCUAAAGUAGAAUUUAGUAAGCGUUAGAUUGUUUACUUACUAAUAAGGAAUGUAAGCUAGGUUUAGACUGUUGAGACAGGUUAGUUUUAUCUUACUAAUGACCUUAUUAUAAUAGUAAUUAAGCUUAGUAUAAAGAGAACUGCUUAUUUAGAUAAUUAGUUUUUGUAGCUAUCUAACUAGGUAGUGCUGUAAUACUACUAUCUACUAGAUAAUAGCUAAACGCCUCUAAGUUAGAAUCUAUGCUAGAAUGUAAUAAUACCUUCUGUAUGUAAAUAGAUAUAAAUAGGCUUUAGCUUAGCGUUUUAGUAGGUAAUUACUUUACUACUCUUAAGUAAGUAGUAGUAUUUGUAAAUUAUAAUUUAGUAUAAGUAGGGUUAAAUCCUUUAUAGAUAACUUAGAUAUACAAAAGGGUCCUAUAAGCAGUAGAGUAGCCUUAUUAUUACAAUCUGCUAAGGGUAAGCCCU
This is a non-coding RNA of Colletotrichum liriopes, 3609 nucleotides long. The record is from the annotation of a GenBank genome assembly. NCBI's taxonomy places the organism in Eukaryota, Fungi, Ascomycota, Sordariomycetes, Glomerellales, Glomerellaceae.